UCUACGGGUGGCUGCAGUGGGGGAUAUUGCACAAUGGGGGGAACCCUGAUGCAGCGACGCCGCGUGGGUGAAGAAGCGCCUCGGCGCGUAAAGCCCUGUCAGCAGGGAAGAAAAUGACGGUACCUGAAGAAGAAGCCCCGGCGAACUACGGGCCAGCAGCCGCGGUUAUACGUAGGGGGCAAGCGGUAUCCGGAUUGACUGGGUGAAAAGGGGGGGGAGACGGCGAUGGAAGCACGGGGGUAAAGCCCGGGGGCCCACCCCGGGACUGCUCUUGGAACUGCGUGGCUGGAGUGCAGGGGGGGCAGGCGGAAUUCCUGGUGUAGCGGUGAAAUGCGUAGAUAUCAGGAGGAACACCGGUGGCGAAGGCGGCCUGCUGGACUGCAACUGACGUUGAGGCCCGAAAGCGUGGGGAGCAAACAGGAUUAGAUACCCUUGUAGUC
Molecule: ribosomal RNA, 440 nt
Filed under: uncultured bacterium
Lineage: Bacteria
Description: partial 16S ribosomal RNA
Rfam family: Bacterial small subunit ribosomal RNA
Source: RNAcentral